RNAcentral lists this long non-coding RNA (336 nucleotides) under Malus domestica (apple). RNAcentral describes it as "long non-coding RNA (MDOM_LNC002953)". Lineage: Eukaryota; Viridiplantae; Streptophyta; Magnoliopsida; Rosales; Rosaceae. The record is from RNAcentral.
AGACACAUUCUGCCGCAAGGCAGAGUCUUUUCUUCUUAACCAUUCUACACAUUCCCACAACAAAAACACAAUUCCAUGCACCUUCAUUUCCCUUUCCUUGCCGUGACCUCCAUCCAACCUAAACACAUUUAGCCAUUCCCUUCCAUAUAUCCAUAUGCAUCCAUCAAACCACACCUUGUGCCGCAACAAAGAGAAAAAGGAGAACCCUUGGACGUGCUUGUCAUUCAAGUUGGAUUGUUGGAGCGUUUUUAGCUGUUUUCAUUCUUUUAUUUUCAAUGUCUAAAUUUUUUUAUCUUUGCUUUGUGAGUAUGAGGAACAAAAUCCCCCUUAGCUAAG